AAGAUGCAAUGUAGGCAUCUUCUGGUUUCUCAAACUUCCAUUGUAUUAGAAUCACUUGGGGCACUUGGUAAAAAUAACGUCUUGGGUCCUUCAAUGAACCUGUCUCUUUAUCAGCUUUCAGGUGAUUCCCACACACACACCAGAGUUUGAUAACUGCUGCUUUAGAAGAUGGCUAAAAAUAGCUUAGGCUUAAGUAGUCUCAGGCUAACUCAUACACUGUUAACCCCCCACCCUGCCAGGGGCAGGCCCAAUCUGCCAACCGCAGGACAGAUUCUUCCAGACUUCUGUAAGAGGGCGCUGCAGCCAUAGGCCAGCACUAGGCAACAGCCCUGCAGCCCAGUGAGUCCAGUGAGGGCAUGGGGCAUGACUGGAGACUGAGGCAUCGGAGGAGGAGGAGCAGUGAGCAUGGCCUGGGAAGGAGCUGGCAGCAAGCAGCACAGAGGAUGCGAUUCUACUGAUGAGAAUCUGUGUGUGAUAAGAAUAACUUGAUACAAAGAGCUUGAAACUCUGACCUUGGAAAAAAAAAUUAAUUUUAUUGAAGGACACAAAGACUUGAAUUUGUAUUUUCACCUGGUCUUCACAAAGAUGCUUCAGAUGGGUAUUAUUUCAUCCUUUUAUGCCUGGAGAUCAGUACAGCAAUUUGGCUGGACAGCAAGAAAAGCUACUUCUCAAAUUCAUGCCAAGGCACUCAAAGGAUGUGACAGGAAGAAAAGAGAGAUAGCCGUUCUGACACCAAAUUUGAGUGCCAGUCAUUCCAUUGUCUGGGGAACAGCCAGCAAUAGACAAACGUAAUUAACUACUAAUGAAUGCAACUUUAUCUGGUACCUUCGGAAGGUGGCGUCUGUUUUAAGAAAAAUCACCCCUGGAGAAAUAAGUGUUGACUGACCGCUGUCACAAGGAGAGGGUCAUAAAUUGUCAGCAGGCCCCCCUGGCCAGAAGAUGAUGUAACACCCCUAAGACCUCUGUAUACAUUUGUAUGAAGCACCUGACUUUGAUAAAAGUUAGGACUGCUGACCCCGCGUGACUUUUGUAUAACAUCUCAGUGUAUAAAAACAGACUCUGGAAAAUAAAGAAUUGGGAUCAGUUCCUCGAAAUACUGGUCUCCCCAUGUCGUUCUCUCUCUCUCAAACUCUGGCUGAGUCUCCAUCUGGAGCGCGGAGCCCGCCGUGCUUACUAAUUAUGCCUGGGCUUCUAAGAUCCGACCGGGGAGGCCUCAGUGUCUCCUCUCCUUUGGGAGAACGGAAGGAUGUCUGCGGCCUAUGUAAGUGGUGCAAGCUUCUUGUCUUGAAGUUUUAUUGGUUUCCCACAUAAACCAAGCUACUCAGCCUCUUUUCUCCACUGAAUUUUCCUGCUGAGCUAUCCUCAUUCUUUUACUCUUUAUAUCUCUAAUUAAUAUUUAAAUAAGUUGCUGAUGCCGUCCCUGGUUCGAAUACACUGGAUCAACUGGGGCUGGACCCUGGCAUAUUUCCUCUCUGCUCCACAAUGCUCUUUGUCAUUUCCCUCUCUGUUGCUUACUUCUCACUACCUGCAUCAGCCUCAUUACUAUUCCUCACUCAUUUCAAGCAGAGUAAAUAUUCAAGGCCUUUGUGCUUGUGCUUGUCUCUGUCUUUGUUCUGUGCGUGGGCCAGGCUGUGUGUUAGGUUGUUAGAUUAGGCCUUCUGAGAUUCCCAAACUCCCCACAGACCCACCUGUGAGAGGGGUUCCUACUGUGUGGAAACUUUUUUCUCCUUCAUGACUCCCUCCUCAGGACAGGUCUGUGUCCCUAACUCUUUUGACUCUCUUUUUGCCUUUUAUAAGCUAGCUGGCUACCUACCAGCCCCUACCUGUCUUU
Bos taurus (domestic cattle) is the source of this 1831-nucleotide long non-coding RNA. The record is from Ensembl. NCBI's taxonomy places the organism in Eukaryota, Metazoa, Chordata, Mammalia, Artiodactyla, Bovidae.